UCGGAUGUACACUUGUUAUUGCAGAGCAUAGUGUGAUUGAAUGAGUGCACUCAACAUUGUCCACUAUGGUUUUGGGCACCACUACAAAUGGCUGUCCCCUCAAAUAAUGCCCUAUUUAAGGGUACAGGGGACGAUUUCGGACACAGUCCAUGUUUGAAGUCAGCGUUAUGGAGUAAAGCAGGAGGAAGUUUGCAGGUGAAGUUACAAUGAAAACUAACCUGUUUCUGGGUAUCUUGUCUGACAACAUUUGGUGCAGAUAUGUAAAAAGAUUUAAUUGUAAAAAGGGAUGCUUAUAAGAGAGCCAUGCAGAGAGCCGCGAUCUGAAACUGCUGAGGCUGUGAAGGGUUUCGAUUAUAUUACCAGAUCAGCUGCUAUAAAAGACAAACUGGAAUCAGAAACAAGUGAAGAGGAGUAUGUUUUAAUGUUGUAUCACCUCUGUUAUAGAGAUUUUUAAAUCUGGCCUAUAAUAGAGGGUGAUUCGGUCAAUCUUGGAAGGAAAAUGUUAGCACCAUAUCCAUUCCAGGUGUCUAAUUUGUGCUUCCGUUGAGUCAUUCGUGCAAAAAUCUGUUUAUUUUUUAAUUGUUUCUGUUUUUUGGUAAAGCUGAAGGGUAUUUGUCCUAGUUGUCCUGGCAUACAAUAUUUUGCACAACUUCCCAUUUCUUUAAAUCUUUGCAACAGAGGUGUAGAGAGUGCAUGUUAGCAUGACCAUAAUAGACGCAUUCAUGGGAAAUACCUUAGGUUAAAAUAAACCACAAUUUCAUAUAUCAAUAUCAGUGACUUUGUGAUUGAACUCUGCUCACUGUAAAUUAUGUUUUUGGGCUUCUUCUAAUCUUACGUUCAGUGUAACUCAGAGUGUUAUAUAGUGACGUAAGAGGAUAAAAAUGGACACUCAUAUGUCAAGCUUGAUUAGGAUAUAGUCAAAAGGUAAAUUGAGAAGUCAACAAAAUUCUAAUGAAUAUCAAUGCAAAUUAUAAUACAUACUAUAUAUUCAAUCAUGGAUGCAAAACUGUUAUUUAUUGGUUAAUUUUAUAUAAGUUCUGUUUUCCCUUUCACAGAUCCUGUGAUAAAGCUGCCUUCAAAUACUACAGUGUCUGGAUUGCAAGCCCUCAGCUGCUCGUGCUCAAAGAAGUGACCCUCCACCUGAAGAUGAAGAUGUGACACUCUUCAGUUUCUUUUCUUUCUUUCUUAAACAUUUGUAAAAAAAAAAAAAAAAAAAAAAACUUCUGCACUUCUAUUAUUCACUU
Megalobrama amblycephala (Wuchang bream) is the source of this 1244-nucleotide long non-coding RNA. RefSeq lists it as uncharacterized. The transcript has 4 exons. NCBI's taxonomy places the organism in Eukaryota, Metazoa, Chordata, Actinopteri, Cypriniformes, Xenocyprididae. The record is from RefSeq and is a predicted model, not a curated record.